Molecule: long non-coding RNA, 297 nt
Organism: Tupaia belangeri chinensis (Chinese tree shrew)
Lineage: Eukaryota; Metazoa; Chordata; Mammalia; Scandentia; Tupaiidae
Exons: 3
Source: RefSeq, a predicted model, not a curated record
GAUGCGUAAACAUUUGCGCUUCUUCCACAAAGAGCUUCAGUCUACGGCUGGGCCCUUUGUACUUUCCUACCGGGAAACACCAGAUGAGACCCAAACCAGAGGUGAGGUGAGAACAGCAGACCUGAAACGUCAGCACUCCAAGGCCCUGCGUUGCGGUGCUGACCGUGUCCUCUAUCCUGCCUAGAGGGGUGCUCAGGACCUCAUACCAACCAGAGACCCUGUUCCUGCUCUGGAUCCCACCAUCCGUGGGGCAAACAGGUGUAUGUACCCCAUAGGAAGGGGGAAAAGAAAGGAAAG